Molecule: long non-coding RNA, 942 nt
Organism: Trifolium pratense (red clover)
Lineage: Eukaryota; Viridiplantae; Streptophyta; Magnoliopsida; Fabales; Fabaceae
Exons: 3
Source: RefSeq, a predicted model, not a curated record
AUAUGGAAAUUACAUAAGUGUAAAUUGGAAUAACUUGUGAAGGACAAAAUAGUAAUUUUGUAGUAAUAGCCAUAUAAGUUCCAAGAUGAGAAGAACAACUCUCUUUCUCAAAACACUCUCACGCCCAACCUCCCUUUCUCACCAUAACCACAAACUUCAUACUCCAUUAAUCCAUCAAAUUUCUUAAUGCAUGUAUGAAUUCUUCUUAACCCAUCAUCAAUUAAACUCAAUAGAAGCAAAAACCAACCCUAUCUUCCUCUCCUUCCCACUCUUAGCCACAAACCCCUUUCUUCCUCACAAACUCAUACCUUCCACCAUUUGCACGAAUUUCUUAUGGGUAGCUUGUAGAUGUUGGAAACCAAUGUAAUGUAAGCAUUCCUAAACUUUCCCCUCUUCUGUGUUGAUUUGACCGAUUUUGAUGGUUAGAGAAUGAGAUAGUUAUUAUCCGAUUUCCCUUGAAAGUGAAGGUUGAAAGAAGUCAUGUUUCACUGUUAGUUUGGAAUUUCAGCAAAGAUGUGGACUUGUAACAGUGGAGACUAAAGAUUGAAGCUUGGAAGAAAUUGAAGAGAAUGGAAAAGAAAGAAAUUGGAAGGAUUUGGGUUAAACCCGUAUUCUGGACAGACCUCCACUAAAAAGUUUCAUGGAUUUCUAAGCAGUAAUGAAUUCGGAAGAAGCAUUUGAAGUUCGAGGUCUGAUGCAGAACUUUGGGCUACGGGUUUAGAGUGUUGUGGCUGCAAAUUCUGUUUUUCAACUAGCUCCGAAUAUGUUGUUAGCACGAUUCAAACGUCAUGUUCAGGUAACAGGUUGAGCAUGAUAAAUGGAUUUUCAAGAGGAUUGAAGUAAAGACGCUGUUUAUGGAAACUUCGUAGCAUUCACCUGUUAAAUUAUUAUAGAAGAUGAUUCAAGGCUUGAGCCUGAUUGUUAUGCAUUCUAUUUCGCUCU